GCAUAUAUUAUAGUCCGAGACAACAAAUAAUCUGGUAAACAAUGUCCAAAGUAGGGGACGGGUCUACAAUAUUGACCAUGUCCAUAACAUGCAUUGGCAUCUGAUUUUUGUCACAAAAAGAUCAGCAUCUAACCUUGGUUACAUCUUUUUGAUCUUACAAACACAAUUUCGGAUUUUAUCAGAAAAAAAUAUAAAAUCUAAUAACUUUAAAGCAAAAUUUAAUCAAAUAAUUCACA
RNAcentral lists this long non-coding RNA (236 nucleotides) under Elaeis guineensis (African oil palm). RNAcentral describes it as "long non-coding RNA (EGUI_LNC001590)". Lineage: Eukaryota; Viridiplantae; Streptophyta; Magnoliopsida; Arecales; Arecaceae. The record is from RNAcentral.